GUGGGGAAUCUUAGACAAUGGGCGCAAGCCUGAUCUAGCCAUGCCGCGUGAGCGAUGAAGGCCUUAGGGUUGUAAAGCUCUUUCGCUGGGGAAGAUAAUGACUGUACCCAGUAAAGAAGCCCCGGCUAACUCCGUGCCAGCAGCCGCGGUAAUACGGAGGGGGCUAGCGUUGUUCGGAAUUACUGGGCGUAAAGUGCGCGUAGGCGGAUUGGAAAGUUGGGGGUGAAAUCCCGGGGCUCAACCUCGGAACUGCCUUCAAAACUCCCAGUCUUGAGUUCGAGAGAGGUGAGUGGAAUUCCGAGUGUAGAGGUGAAAUUCGUAGAUAUUCGGAAGAACACCAGUGGCGAAGGCGACUCACUGGCCCGUUACUGACGCUGAGGCGCGAAAGCGUGGGGAGCAAACAGGAUUAGAUACCCUUGUAGUCC
RNAcentral lists this ribosomal RNA (425 nucleotides) under uncultured bacterium. RNAcentral's name for it is "partial 16S ribosomal RNA". It matches the Rfam family "Bacterial small subunit ribosomal RNA", at positions 354 to 796 of the family's 1533-position model. The record is from RNAcentral.